This is a long non-coding RNA of Oncorhynchus gorbuscha (pink salmon), 3072 nucleotides long. RefSeq lists it as uncharacterized. Lineage: Eukaryota; Metazoa; Chordata; Actinopteri; Salmoniformes; Salmonidae. The record is from RefSeq and is a predicted model, not a curated record. The transcript is spliced from 4 exons.
AUUUGUUCAGCCGGUUGCCCUUUCCUUUCCUUAUUAGAACUGUUUUCAUCUUUAACCCCCAGUGAGAGGACUUGGAAAAACCAACAAGUUGCUUUGAAUUAUGGCAUAUACUGUACAAAGAGGACCUCCCAUCAGCCAAUGUAAAAUCCAAGAUAGUGGUCUUUGUUGUCGUGGGACAUUCAGCUCUCCAACUGUCUGCCUGUGCAUUCAGCAGGACAAGUCAAGUGAAACAUGGCUUUAGCCAGGUACCACAUACCUCCCCCACUUAUAUAUAUUUUUAAAUAGUGUUGGCAAAUUUUUUAUUUUACCCUUAUUUUACCAGGUAAAUUGACUGAGAACAUAGUUUCAUUUACAGCAACAACCUGGGGAAUAGUUACAGGGAUGAAUGAGCCAACUGGAGACUGGGAUGAUUAGCUGAUCAUGACAGUAUGAGGGCCAGAUUGGUAAUUUAGCCAGGACACAAGAGUUAACACCCCUACUCUUAUGAUACUGUAAGUGCCAUGGAAUCUUUAAUUGACCACAGUGAGUCAGGACACCCGUUUAACAUCCCAUCCAAAAGACAGCACCCUACACAGGGCAAUGUCCCUAAUCACUGCCCUGGGGCAUUGGAAUGUUUAUUUUAGAUCAGAAGAAAGAGUGCUACCUACUGGCCCUCCAACACCACGUCCAGGAGCAUCUGGUGUCCCAUCCAGGGACCGCAGGGUGGUUUGCUGCUGGCCAAAGUUAGCUGAAGUUUGUAUUGACCUAUUAAAGAAAACCGAACCAUGGAUUACAGUUUCUCCUGGUCUAUAAACUACUUUCAGGCUUUUCCCCCUUACCUGGGAGGCAGAGACUGACUGGUUGCUGGAAGAGCAUUUCUGUGCAGAGUUCACACUACCAAGAUUUGAAUCAAGUUCAACUACCACCAAGCUACUGCAAAAUGUAGUUCAAUUGCCAGUUGAACUACAUGUAGCUCACUACUUCCCAACACUGUUGAUGAGCAGCAUUUCAACAGACUUCCUUCUAAACAUGGAGUGAUUUAUGGAUGAUGUGGAUGUCUGUGGGAAGAUGAAUUAGAUAGUGUUUUGAAAGCGAAAAGGAUACUUUUUAAAAUUUAAUUUAAUAAAGUAUUGUUUAAGGUAAUUUCACCAAAUUUCACUCUGUAGCAAAACAUUUUCACCUGUUUUGUGCCAACUGAACAUGUCCACACUGUGUCUCCACAGUCAAGACUUGAUGAACAGGUGUGACCAUGGCAACACAGUCUCUAAAACUCACCAUGAGGUCAUGUUUAGUAGGCACAAAAUGGGAGAAAAGGGACUGAAAUGGAGUGACACAGAAAAGUUUUAUUUGAACUUUAAUAGUUCAAAUAAAUAGUCGGUUUUAAAAUGUUUUGUUACAGUGUGCCCUACUGAACAUGACCCAGGGUCCUGACCCUUUUUGGAAUGACUCUGCGCUAUUGGCUGAUGAACAGGGCCAAGUUCGAGGAGCUGUAUCCUGAGCGUGUGUUCCUCUGGUGGCAGUGAUGGAGAAGGCCCAGUUGCAGCUCGAAGACAUCUUCGGAGGAACCACACACGUAAAUCCCCUCCAUGAAAACACAGCAAGUUCUUCAAAAGGGAAGUCAGCGCUACAUUCAACGCAGAAGAGGCAGACGCUAAUGUAUACUGUUUCUAGUUGGUGUGACACCCUCUCUUUUAAGACAACAUAAUUGCAUGUAGUACACAGCAUAUUUGAUGAUACAGUUAGUGUUUCUCAAAAGGGAUUUCGGUGCUCCCCAGCCAUUUCACAUAAGGGCUUACUGAUUAGUUGAAUCAUGUGUGCUAGAAUUGGAAUCAAAAACAUACAGUGCCUUCAGAAAGUAUUCACGCCCCUUGAUUUUUCUAAAAAAUACAAAUCUGAUUGUUGAUCAUUACUAACAGGGCCGGGUCUAGCCUUUUGGGGUCCCUAAGCGAGAUUUGGUUGGGGGGCCCACCACCUCGCUGCAAAACAUUUUAGUGGCCCCCCUCUUAAACUCAUACAUUUCUACUCAUUUUGCAAUACUGGCUCGUCAGGCUCCCACGCCUCAGGCGGCUUGUAUGGCUCCCACGCAUUAGGUGGCUCGAUAGGUUUACAAGACCUGGUUGCCCCGUCAAGCGUCCGUUGCCGAGUCUACCGAGGAUGCCUCAGCUGGUUUGUCAGGUUCACAAGACUCGUUUGGCUCGGCAGGCUCCUACGCCUUUGGCAGGCUGGUCAGGUUCCCGCGCCUCAGCAGAAGCCAUUUUGCCAUGGUGUGGAGAGAUUCCAUUUUUAUAUGAGAUGGCGCAAGAGUUGAUGGCUGCUGUUUUGUGCUAUUGUGUGUUUUUUUUUGCGUUAUUUGUAACUUAUUUUGUACGUAAUGUUUCUGCCACCCGAAAAUAGCAUCUGGAUAUCAGCACAGUGAUUACUCACCUCGUACUGGACAAAGAUCUUUUCCUUAAUGAGUCGGAUGCAAAGGAUUUACUUCAGACACCAGACAAGGCCCAAAUCCCCGUCAUUCGCAUGAAGAAGAGACGGAGAUAUCGGGGACGUAGGUCAGUGUGCCUUGUAAGUAUCCGACGGCGAGUGGGUAAUCCACCUCUACCAUCAAUCCUAUUAGCCAAAGUGCAAUCUGUCACGUAUACGCCCUCUCCGGCCUCUAGGUCAUCAGGCUGCUGAUUAUCCCGCACACCUGUCACCAUCGUCUCGUGCACCUGCGCCUCAUGACACUCACCUGGACUCCAUCACCUCCUUGAUUAUCUUCCCUAUAUCUGUCAGAUUGCCAGGCUUCCCUGCCUUAGCCGUCUCGUCAGGCUCUCAUGCCUCAGCCGGAUCACCAUGCUCCCCUGCCUCACCCGGCUCGUCAGGCUUUCAUGCCUCCGCCGGAUCGCCAGGCUUCCCGGCUUCCACCAGCUUGUCACGUUCUCAUGCCUCAGCCGGAUCGCCAGGCUCCCCUGCCUCAACCAAUCUGUCAGGUUCCCGCAUCCCAACUGACUAAACAGGUUAUUGCGCAUCAGCAGGGCUGACGAGUCUGCUCCUGAUCCCCGGGUUUGUAACCUUUGACGGCGUCCUGCGGCUAGAGCCGCGCGUUGGGGAGGGAGG